Small nucleolar RNA from Cavia aperea (Brazilian guinea pig), 118 nucleotides. Lineage: Eukaryota; Metazoa; Chordata; Mammalia; Rodentia; Caviidae. The record is from Ensembl.
UUGUGUCUAGAUGUAGCCCCAAAACCUUAUGCUCAAACUAAAGAGAUGUCUUUCUAUGGUCUGUUGGCCAUUUCAGAACUUGGGCAUGAAGUGGUCAAUUCAUCAGAAAGAAACAGAU